AGGGCACCACCAGGAGUGGAGCCUGCGGCUUAAUUUGACUCAACACGGGAAAACUCACCCGGCCCGGACACCGUAAGGAUUGACAGAUUGAUAGCUCUUUCAUGAUUCGGUGGUUGGUGGCGCAUGGCCGUUCUUAGUUCGUGGAUCGAUUUGUCUGGUUUAUUCCGAUAACGAGCGAGACUCUAGCCUACUAAAUAGUAACGGGAUUACUUUUGUCCCGGUUGCUUCUUAGAGGGAUUUUCGGUGUUUAGCCGCACGAGAUUGAGCAAUAACAGGUCUGUGAUGCCCCUAGAUGUCCGGGGCUGCACGCGCGCUACACUGGCGAAAUCAGCGUGCUGUAUCCAUUCGCGAAAGGGAUUGGUAAACCCAUGAAAAUUUGCCGUGCUUGGGAUCGGAAAUUGCAAUUAUUUUCCGUGAACGAGGAAUUCCAAGUAAGUGCGAGUCAUCAACUCGCUCUGAUUACGUCCCUGCCCUUUGUACACACCGCCCGUCGCUGCCCGGGACUGAGCCAUUUCGAGA
Molecule: ribosomal RNA, 519 nt
Filed under: uncultured eukaryote
Lineage: Eukaryota
Description: SSU rRNA
Rfam family: Eukaryotic small subunit ribosomal RNA
Source: RNAcentral